GACCAACGCUGGCGGCGUGCUUAACACAUGCAAGUCGAGCGGUAAGGCCCUUUCGGGGGUACGACGAGCGGCGAACGGGUGAGUAACACGUGGGUGACCUGCCCUCAGCUCUGGGAUAAGCCUGGGAAACCGGGUCUAAUACUGGAUAUGACUCCAUGACGCAUGUUGUGGGGUGGAAAGCCUUGUGCGGCUGAGGAUGGGCCCGCGGCCUAUCAGCUUGUUGGUGGGGUGAGGCCUACCAAGGCGACGACGGGUAGCCGGCCUGAGAGGGCGACCGGCCACACUGGGACUGAGACACGGCCCAGACUCCUACGGGAGGCAGCAGUGGGGAAUCUUGCGCAAUGGGCGAAAGCCUGACGCAGCGACGCCGCGUGAGGGAUGACGGCCUC
This 389-nucleotide ribosomal RNA is filed under the name uncultured bacterium. RNAcentral's name for it is "bacterial SSU rRNA". It matches the Rfam family "Bacterial small subunit ribosomal RNA", at positions 28 to 418 of the family's 1533-position model. The record is from RNAcentral.